Long non-coding RNA from Ananas comosus (pineapple), 1464 nucleotides. RefSeq lists it as uncharacterized. The record is from RefSeq and is a predicted model, not a curated record. NCBI's taxonomy places the organism in Eukaryota, Viridiplantae, Streptophyta, Magnoliopsida, Poales, Bromeliaceae. The transcript is spliced from 2 exons.
AAAAGGUUUUCGUAGUUCACGGUAAGUUUUGUACGUUUUUACCUAAUGUUUUAACCUAAAGAGUCGUUCAUAUAAUGUAAUGAUAAGGAGUGAGUGUGAUAUACUAGACCUUAGCAAAUAGGCAAGGUUGUAGUAUGAAUUUUUAAUCAAUUUUCUUUUUAUAUAGUACUUGAUUGAGUUGGAGACGUUCUUGUGUGAAAUACACGCAAAAACGGACUUAGAAACUCAAGAUUCAAUUUGUGAAGAAAGUUGAAAUAUUUGAUCUUUGAGGGACCUAUUGGCAUUUUUGCUAUUAUUAUGAAUGGAGUCCAUGUAGGCACUUGAGGCUUCAUACUUAUCCACUUUAUUCCUUCACCUUGAAGAAUAAGGAUAGAGAGAUAGAGUUUGAGCUCGAAGAAAAACAAAGAGAAAGCUUGGUUUCAUUCUAGCGAGUGAGCGAGCGAGUCAAGCGUGCGCACGUGUACUUUUUGGUGUUUCGGCGUCACGGAGCGAAUUUUGCGUAAUUUUGACGAGGGAUUUUCGAGUUAUUUUAGAGUAUUGUGGCUACUAUCAGUCUACCGUUCAUUUCCUCGGACUUGCGUUAUAGGUGGGUUCCGUGUUGUCAAAAUUGACAGACUAAUUUCUAUAUCCAUAUUAUAUUAUUUAGCCUGCGAGAUGAUCUGUUGACAUAAUUGAGAUAAUAGUGAUAUUUUGACACCAAUCAGUAGUAUUUUGGACACUAUGACAGUAUUAUCAUGAUUUGUUUGAUCAUUAUAUUUGACCACAGCCUACAUACUAUAUUGAGUUUGAUAGUGAUACUAUAUUCGGUUGGAGUAGCGCCGUGAGAGUGCCACUCCGGAGAUUGGGCUAUGAGAUAUUAUUAUGGCAUGGGCCAGACAGUAGCCUGCGUAGUAGCAGACCACUAUAGGUGGGUGUUGGACACAAGGCAGCGUAGACUAGACUUGACUGUUGAGUCGAUCACUAUGAUUGAGUCUUAUUGCAAUGUUUAAUUCCGUAACUAAUUGAUGCAUGACAUAUAUGAAUUACAGAUUUCAGUUAUAUUGUAGAGGCAGGAUAGUAGUUAUUUUUAGCCAUUGUUCAUAUUAGUACUUGUUUAUUUACAGUUUUAUACUGCUCAAUCAUUUACUAUUUUUAUGUCUUAUGGACCUAGUGGUAUAGACAGUCGGCGUUGACGAUCGUACCCACUAGGGAUUAUUGAUUAUAGUUCUUAUAUCCUCUUUAUUAAUAUUUUAUUUCAGAACCUUCAGCACCAGCGACUAAUUGAGGUAAGAGGAUUGCGGAUAGUUAGCAUCUCCUACCCAUUUUGUGUGUGUAAUUGGACCACCUAUCACUGUAUAUUGCAGUCUAUACAGCGUUUUAAGGUUUGGAGUGGUCAGAAAUGUUAUACCAUUUUGUGGACUGGUGUGGUAAUGAUUGUAUAUCUUUACAGUAUUGUUAUAGUAUAUAGUUUUUAUUUUUCUCUGA